Molecule: ribosomal RNA, 731 nt
Filed under: uncultured Planctomycetota bacterium
Lineage: Bacteria; Pseudomonadati; Planctomycetota
Description: bacterial SSU rRNA
Rfam family: Bacterial small subunit ribosomal RNA
Source: RNAcentral
AGCGGCGAAAGGGACAGUAAUGUGUAGAUCAUCUGCCCUCAGGCCCGGGAUAGCUGCGGGAAACUGCAGGUAAUACCGGAUAACAUCUCCGGAUCAAAGGUGUGAUUCCGCCUGUGGAUGAGUCUGCAUCCUAUUAGCUAGUUGGUAGGGUAACGGCCUACCAAGGCAAUGAUGGGUAGCGGGUGUGAGAGCACGACCCGCGUCACUGGGACUGAGACACUGCCCAGACACCUACGGGUGGCUGCAGUCGAGAAUCUUCGGCAAUGGACGCAAGUCUGACCGAGCGACGCCGCGUGUGGGAUGAAGGCCUUCGGGUUGUAAACCACUGUCAGAGGGGAGGAAAUGCAGGUGGGUUCUCCCAUCGGUUUGACCUAUCCUCAGAGGAAGUACGGGCUAAGUUCGUGCCAGCAGCCGCGGUAAGACGAACCGUACGAACGUUAUUCGGAAUCACUGGGCUUAAAGGGUGCGUAGGCGGCGCGGAAAGUUGGGUGUGAAAUCCCUCGGCUCAACCGAGGAACUGCGCCCAAAACUUCCGUGCUCGAGGGAGAUAGAGGUGAGCGGAACUUAGGGUGGAGCGGUGAAAUGCGUUGAUAUCCUAAGGAACACCGGUGGCGAAAGCGGCUCACUGGAUCUCUUCUGACGCUGAGGCACGAAAGCUAGGGUAGCGAACGGGAUUAGAUACCCCGGUAGUCCUAGCCGUAAACGAUGAGCACUGGAUUGGAGGGUCCUCC